CACACAACAGUCGUGUGCAAGAGACGGUUAUUCAGUAUCUGGAGGUCAGCAGAGAAUUCAGGAAGGACGAUAACUUGCUGGUCCAAUACUCAGGUAGGAAUAAUGGGAAGAAACUUACUAAGUCCUCCUUAGCCAGGUGG
Molecule: long non-coding RNA, 140 nt
Organism: Bufo bufo (common toad)
Lineage: Eukaryota; Metazoa; Chordata; Amphibia; Anura; Bufonidae
Exons: 3
Source: RefSeq, a predicted model, not a curated record